Molecule: long non-coding RNA, 348 nt
Filed under: Monodelphis domestica (gray short-tailed opossum)
Lineage: Eukaryota; Metazoa; Chordata; Mammalia; Didelphimorphia; Didelphidae
Description: lncRNA (ENSMODG00000035492.2)
Source: RNAcentral
UGCUAUAUUUGACACUAUUAACUACCUUCUUUUCCUAACUUUAUGACUUCCAUGACAUUAUAACCUAUAUUUCUAUCUCAGGACUACAUAGAAAGUCAGAAUAUGGGUAUGUCUCAAUCAAACUGGUACAGGAUUGAUGCUGCUUAAGGGGAGAUCUGUUGUCUGAGUCUUAAAGGACCACUUUUAGGGUUUUCUUGGUAAAGAUACUAGAAGAGUUUCCUGUUUCGUGCUCCAGUUUAUUUUAUAGAUGAAGACACUGUAGCAAACAGGGCUUCAUUUACAGAUAAAGCCCUGAGGCAAACAAGAGUUAAGUGGCGUACAUCAAGUUACACAACUAAGACUUCUUCC